RNAcentral lists this ribosomal RNA (305 nucleotides) under uncultured bacterium. RNAcentral describes it as "bacterial SSU rRNA". It matches the Rfam family "Bacterial small subunit ribosomal RNA", at positions 332 to 636 of the family's 1533-position model. The record is from RNAcentral.
CUGAACCUACGGGGCGCAGCAGUGAGGAAUAUUGGUCAAUGGACGGAAGUCUGAACCAGCCAUGCCGCGUGCAGGAAGACGGCUCUAUGAGUUGUAAACUGCUUUUGUACAAGGGUAAACCUGAAUACGUGUAUUCAGCUGAAAGUACUGUACGAAUAAGGAUCGGCUAACUCCGUGCCAGCAGCCGCGGUAAUACGGAGGAUGCGAGCGUUAUCCGGAUUUAUUGGGUUUAAAGGGUGCGCAGGCGGUCUGUUAAGUCAGCGGUCAAAGCCCGGGGCUCAACCCCGGCCCGCCGUUGAAACUGG